GCCAGCAGCCAUAUCACCCUGCAAAUCACAACUAGCAACCCACUGAAGUGAAGCAGGUGGGAGCCUGGUCAGUACCUGGAUGGGAGACCUCCUGGGAAAAACUAAGAUUGCUGCUGGAA
RNAcentral lists this ribosomal RNA (119 nucleotides) under Lepisosteus oculatus (spotted gar). Lineage: Eukaryota; Metazoa; Chordata; Actinopteri; Semionotiformes; Lepisosteidae. The record is from RNAcentral.